Long non-coding RNA from Mustela lutreola (European mink), 2113 nucleotides. RefSeq lists it as uncharacterized. The transcript has 2 exons. Lineage: Eukaryota; Metazoa; Chordata; Mammalia; Carnivora; Mustelidae. The record is from RefSeq and is a predicted model, not a curated record.
GCCUUGCCGGGCUCCGCAGGGAGUGAGUGCAGGUGGGGGCGGCCUGGGUUUCCGAUCAGCAGAUGUGACUUCAGGAGGGUGGUGGCUCCCUUUCCGGGGCCUGGGGGAGUCGGGAAGCAGAUGACCCCAGGCAGAAGUCACACACCGGCCUCUAGAGCGCCUGCCUCCUGCUCUAGGCCCUACGCUCUGGGGGACCAUCCCACAGGAGGCGGGGACAGCCUGCGGGACCCUUCCCAGCAGAGGUGUGCCCUCCGACAGGACCCUGACCCCUGCAGCGGGGGAGGGGGGCCCUGGUCACGUGGGUCCCCUGGUUCUGGGUUGGGCUUGUGACUCGGGUUCCCGUGGGUGGCGAGCUGGGGAGGCCGUGCGGCCAGAGAGCAUGUCUGGGCCUCCCCUGGGCCGGGCAGCUGGAGCCCUGCGCCCCUUCUCCUAUCCACCUGCCGCCGCCCCCAGGGCCAGCUCCCUGACUCCUACUCUGGGGGUAUUUUUACCACGUGUGUACAAGAGAGUGUGUCGUCCUGCUCGACUGUGAGCUGACGGCCGCUGGAGGCCUAUCGUGUUUCCGGGUCACCCCAGUGAGGACGCCCAGGAGCCCCACCUGGCCCUCGGCCGGCUCUCCAGACAGGCAUCCCCUCCCAGCGACUCGGGCCCUCCUGCGGAACACGCCGAACUGGGUGGCGAGAGCACGGUGUGAGGGUUCUGUGCCCCAUCCUGUGACUGGGGCCUUGAGCCCCGCUGCUGAGCCCAAAGGGCACGCUGGCCUGCUUGGGAGAAGGGUCUGGAGGGACACCAUUCUAUGCGCCGAUGUCCGUGACCCUGUUUUCUCAACCAGGGGAGCCCCCUCCCCCAGUAACGGCCAGUGCCGUGGGCCGGUGCCAUGUCCCUGCUGGUGCAAAGGGGCCAUAGGCACCCCCCUGGUGUUGGGAGUCCCCGGGGAGGCCCCCUCGUCCCCCCACUCAGGACCAUGGCGGUGGCUGCGGGGACCCACCAGGGCUGGGUGGCCCGCCCGCUGACUGUUCCCCGUGGGGGCUCCAAGGGGGACACAGGCCCACGUGUGGCAGCUCAGCACAGUGAGGUGGGGUGUCGGGGGCUCCCCGGCUCGCCGGCUGCUCGAGUGCCCUAGGGCACAAGUGGAACAUUCUGCGGCUCCCGCCAAGCUGAGAGCUGCGGCCGCCCACGCCGCCCAAUGGACGGUAUUAAUAGCAUUUCCCUGGUGACCUUCCCCGCCACAGACUCAUCAGCUGCAAUCAGGGCCUCCCAGUUAGAGGCGCAGGAGCUCCGGGAAACAGCCCCGGGCCUGAGGUCAGCAGCUCGCUCAGGGCCCUCGGGAGCAGCUCCGCGGCACGCCUGUCCGGGCAGGAGGCUCCUGGACGCAGGUCCAGCGGGGAGCCUGGAGGCUGGGAGGGGGGUGGAGGGGUGACGGGUCAGGGCCGUGGGCCCUGCAUUAGGCUGCGUGACGAGGGAGGCCGAGGGGUCCCUGGGGCCACCUGACGGAGCAGCACAGACAGGGGGUGUCAAUAUCGGGACCGUGUCCUCUCCCAGAAGCCCGAGCCGGGCUGUCCGCGGCGCCGGCUCCUCCGAAGCUGUUCCCGGUGGUCCCAGCGUCUGGCGUUGGCCCGUCUUGGCCUCCCUUGGCCCAGGGUGCCCAGCUCUGCUCUGAGAGCACAGGGGCCUGGGGUGCGGCCUGCAGGGCUGCCUGGCCCGGGCAGGACCCACACACAUACACACAUGCGCGUGCACACACACACACACACACACACACAGCCCCUGUCUCUGACCGAGGCCUGAGGCCCCCACCUCGGGGACCGUGGACUCGGCUCUCCGGAGGCUGUGCCGGGGUGGGGAGCUCGGCCCCGUGUGAGUCCCACAACCCCAACCGUGCAGCCGCCUCCCGCCAGUCCUUUCCCCUAGAUCCCUGUGUGCACGGGACGCACCCCUGCUUUCCCGCCCCGGGCUGGGAGGAUGCCCGAGGCCUCGCAGGCCGCAGCGACGGCGCCGGUGUCACAGGGCCCUUCCCGACAGGCGCCGACCGCCAGCCUCGGCCUCCUGAGUGUGUCUGCCGGGGAAAUCUGAGAUCCGAUGUCAAAUUAAAAAAUGAAGCUCAGGCCUUUAA